Long non-coding RNA from Strigops habroptila (Kakapo), 629 nucleotides. RefSeq lists it as uncharacterized. The record is from RefSeq and is a predicted model, not a curated record. Lineage: Eukaryota; Metazoa; Chordata; Aves; Psittaciformes; Psittacidae. The transcript is spliced from 2 exons.
CAGAGCCAGCCCUACUGAGCAUGUCCUGCAGAUUCAGCUCCUCAGGAUCAUCUUUGCAGAGCAAUACAGGACCUGGAACGAUGGCAUUUGCUUUGUUUCUCUGACUUUCAUCCUGGAAGAUGCCAACCACAGAAUAUGUUGCCUUUUUCUGGCAGUCUGCAGAAUCGGCUGCUUUGACCUUGCUGAAAGGAAAGACAUUUAUGAUUGGGGAACAUGGAGAUGUGGGGGCACAAUGUGCUCAGAGCAGAACAAAAUGCACAGCUUCUUCCUGGAAAAGUUGACAAGAAAAGUAGGACAAACUGGGUGAUACGUGGGAGAAAGGCCAGAUUAUCGUCUGCAUUUUAUACGUGGCAAGUGAGGGGCAACACGACUGAGCAGCUUGACCGAGGUCACGCAGCAAACCUGUGGCAGGGCAGCACAAGCAGAAACCAUCUCUCCCCAGGGCUGGUCCAAAACCUACACCAAGAAAACACACUUCUCUCAAAGGCUCUGCCUGUUAGGAAGCAGCUCAGACUGAGUCAGGAAAGUAUUUGCUUCCCUAUAACAUAUUUUUCCUCUGUCAGAAGAUAAGUAUAUCUUCCGCUGUCUGCUUACUACAGUUGCUGUUUAAUAAAUUAAGUGUCUAAUUA